Molecule: non-coding RNA, 47 nt
Filed under: Schistosoma mattheei
Lineage: Eukaryota; Metazoa; Platyhelminthes; Trematoda; Strigeidida; Schistosomatidae
Source: RNAcentral
AUCCAGAUGACGAGUCCUAAAAAUAGGACGAAAUGUGCGUCCCAGAU